RNAcentral lists this ribosomal RNA (2931 nucleotides) under Escherichia coli. Its description in RNAcentral is "23S ribosomal RNA". It matches the Rfam family "Bacterial large subunit ribosomal RNA". Lineage: Bacteria; Pseudomonadati; Pseudomonadota; Gammaproteobacteria; Enterobacterales; Enterobacteriaceae. The record is from RNAcentral.
GGGUUGUGAGGUUAAGCGACUAAGCGUACACGGUGGAUGCCCUGGCAGUCAGAGGCGAUGAAGGACGUGCUAAUCUGCGAUAAGCGUCGGUAAGGUGAUAUGAACCGUUAUAACCGGCGAUUUCCGAAUGGGGAAACCCAGUGUGUUUCGACACACUAUCAUUAACUGAAUCCAUAGGUUAAUGAGGCGAACCGGGGGAACUGAAACAUCUAAGUACCCCGAGGAAAAGAAAUCAACCGAGAUUCCCCCAGUAGCGGCGAGCGAACGGGGAGGAGCCCAGAGCCUGAAUCAGUGUGUGUGUUAGUGGAAGCGUCUGGAAAGGCGCGCGAUACAGGGUGACAGCCCCGUACACAAAAAUGCACAUAUUGUGAGCUCGAUGAGUAGGGCGGGACACGUGGUAUCCUGUCUGAAUAUGGGGGGACCAUCCUCCAAGGCUAAAUACUCCUGACUGACCGAUAGUGAACCAGUACCGUGAGGGAAAGGCGAAAAGAACCCCGGCGAGGGGAGUGAAAAAGAACCUGAAACCGUGUACGUACAAGCAGUGGGAGCACGCUUAGGCGUGUGACUGCGUACCUUUUGUAUAAUGGGUCAGCGACUUAUAUUCUGUAGCAAGGUUAACCGAAUAGGGGAGCCGAAGGGAAACCGAGUCUUAACUGGGCGUUAAGUUGCAGGGUAUAGACCCGAAACCCGGUGAUCUAGCCAUGGGCAGGUUGAAGGUUGGGUAACACUAACUGGAGGACCGAACCGACUAAUGUUGAAAAAUUAGCGGAUGACUUGUGGCUGGGGGUGAAAGGCCAAUCAAACCGGGAGAUAGCUGGUUCUCCCCGAAAGCUAUUUAGGUAGCGCCUCGUGAAUUCAUCUCCGGGGGUAGAGCACUGUUUCGGCAAGGGGGUCAUCCCGACUUACCAACCCGAUGCAAACUGCGAAUACCGGAGAAUGUUAUCACGGGAGACACACGGCGGGUGCUAACGUCCGUCGUGAAGAGGGAAACAACCCAGACCGCCAGCUAAGGUCCCAAAGUCAUGGUUAAGUGGGAAACGAUGUGGGAAGGCCCAGACAGCCAGGAUGUUGGCUUAGAAGCAGCCAUCAUUUAAAGAAAGCGUAAUAGCUCACUGGUCGAGUCGGCCUGCGCGGAAGAUGUAACGGGGCUAAACCAUGCACCGAAGCUGCGGCAGCGACGCUGAUGCGUUGUUGGGUAGGGGAGCGUUCUGUAAGCCUGCGAAGGUGUGCUGUGAGGCAUGCUGGAGGUAUCAGAAGUGCGAAUGCUGACAUAAGUAACGAUAAAGCGGGUGAAAAGCCCGCUCGCCGGAAGACCAAGGGUUCCUGUCCAACGUUAAUCGGGGCAGGGUGAGUCGACCCCUAAGGCGAGGCCGAAAGGCGUAGUCGAUGGGAAACAGGUUAAUAUUCCUGUACUUGGUGUUACUGCGAAGGGGGGACGGAGAAGGCUAUGUUGGCCGGGCGACGGUUGUCCCGGUUUAAGCGUGUAGGCUGGUUUUCCAGGCAAAUCCGGAAAAUCAAGGCUGAGGCGUGAUGACGAGGCACUACGGUGCUGAAGCAACAAAUGCCCUGCUUCCAGGAAAAGCCUCUAAGCAUCAGGUAACAUCAAAUCGUACCCCAAACCGACACAGGUGGUCAGGUAGAGAAUACCAAGGCGCUUGAGAGAACUCGGGUGAAGGAACUAGGCAAAAUGGUGCCGUAACUUCGGGAGAAGGCACGCUGAUAUGUAGGUGAAGCGACUUGCUCGUGGAGCUGAAAUCAGUCGAAGAUACCAGCUGGCUGCAACUGUUUAUUAAAAACACAGCACUGUGCAAACACGAAAGUGGACGUAUACGGUGUGACGCCUGCCCGGUGCCGGAAGGUUAAUUGAUGGGGUUAGCGCAAGCGAAGCUCUUGAUCGAAGCCCCGGUAAACGGCGGCCGUAACUAUAACGGUCCUAAGGUAGCGAAAUUCCUUGUCGGGUAAGUUCCGACCUGCACGAAUGGCGUAAUGAUGGCCAGGCUGUCUCCACCCGAGACUCAGUGAAAUUGAACUCGCUGUGAAGAUGCAGUGUACCCGCGGCAAGACGGAAAGACCCCGUGAACCUUUACUAUAGCUUGACACUGAACAUUGAGCCUUGAUGUGUAGGAUAGGUGGGAGGCUUUGAAGUGUGGACGCCAGUCUGCAUGGAGCCGACCUUGAAAUACCACCCUUUAAUGUUUGAUGUUCUAACGUUGACCCGUAAUCCGGGUUGCGGACAGUGUCUGGUGGGUAGUUUGACUGGGGCGGUCUCCUCCUAAAGAGUAACGGAGGAGCACGAAGGUUGGCUAAUCCUGGUCGGACAUCAGGAGGUUAGUGCAAUGGCAUAAGCCAGCUUGACUGCGAGCGUGACGGCGCGAGCAGGUGCGAAAGCAGGUCAUAGUGAUCCGGUGGUUCUGAAUGGAAGGGCCAUCGCUCAACGGAUAAAAGGUACUCCGGGGAUAACAGGCUGAUACCGCCCAAGAGUUCAUAUCGACGGCGGUGUUUGGCACCUCGAUGUCGGCUCAUCACAUCCUGGGGCUGAAGUAGGUCCCAAGGGUAUGGCUGUUCGCCAUUUAAAGUGGUACGCGAGCUGGGUUUAGAACGUCGUGAGACAGUUCGGUCCCUAUCUGCCGUGGGCGCUGGAGAACUGAGGGGGGCUGCUCCUAGUACGAGAGGACCGGAGUGGACGCAUCACUGGUGUUCGGGUUGUCAUGCCAAUGGCACUGCCCGGUAGCUAAAUGCGGAAGAGAUAAGUGCUGAAAGCAUCUAAGCACGAAACUUGCCCCGAGAUGAGUUCUCCCUGACUCCUUGAGAGUCCUGAAGGAACGUUGAAGACGACGACGUUGAUAGGCCGGGUGUGUAAGCGCAGCGAUGCGUUGAGCUAACCGGUACUAAUGAACCGUGAGGCUUAACCUUACAACGCCGAAGGUGUUU